This 84-nucleotide microRNA precursor is filed under the name Schmidtea mediterranea. RNAcentral describes it as "microRNA sme-mir-2200 precursor". The record is from miRBase by way of RNAcentral. Lineage: Eukaryota; Metazoa; Platyhelminthes; Tricladida; Dugesiidae.
AAUUUUGAUACAGUUUGAAGACGAUUAUUAUUGAUUAUUAUUGUUGAGAUGAUUAAAAAAUCCGAAUUCAGCUGUAUAAAAAAU